GUAAAAUACCUUAUUUCCAAAAUUCUUUUUAUAUGAUCAUUUAUGGUUUCAUGUCUAUGUCUUUGAGGAAAGCAGGACAACUUAUGUUACAAUGGAAGAAAUAAGUUCCAAGAGGCUAAGUAAUUUGCCCAAGGCAACACAGCUUAUGACCUAGACCAAAUCACCUGCCUGACCUCCCUGUAUGUUAAGUUGUAUGUGAAUGAGUACCCUCCCAGAACACAGAAUUUUAUAAAAAACCUGCUUUCCUUGUACAGGUGUGUGGCAACAGUAAAGCUUUCUACAUGUUAAACAGAAUGAACAAAACCAACGCAGAGCAGUGACUUCCUGUCAGAGCAGAAGGAGACCCUUAUAGAACAGCUGUGCCACUGCUCCAAAGGCCUCGUGUGGUUCUAUCCCUUGGACUGCCUUUCUUCAACAGCCCAGACACCUGCUCUGUCAGAUUUAUAAGCCACACCCCCUAGAGCCAUGCCAAUCAAAGCAUGGCCCGCAGACCUGUGCCAGUCUCCGAACCUCUUUGUUACCGAUUUGGAGCAAGAUGGGGACAGAAAUUGAGAGCCAGAGUUUAGAA
RNAcentral lists this long non-coding RNA (568 nucleotides) under Homo sapiens (human). Its description in RNAcentral is "non-protein coding lnc-ESM1-1:2". The record is from RNAcentral. Lineage: Eukaryota; Metazoa; Chordata; Mammalia; Primates; Hominidae.